ACACGUGGACAAAGAGAAGCAUA
RNAcentral lists this non-coding RNA (23 nucleotides) under Arabidopsis thaliana (thale cress). The record is from RNAcentral. Lineage: Eukaryota; Viridiplantae; Streptophyta; Magnoliopsida; Brassicales; Brassicaceae.